GAUCACUUUGUUUCCGUUGCCUCUUUCUGCGGUGCUGCAGACACACAUUGAGGGGAGGAUUGGAUUUGAGGAGAUACUGACGGGGUUGCACAGCUGCAACAGUCCCCUCCGUCCCCACACCCUCUCUCUCUCUCUCUCUCUCUCUCUCUCUCUCUCUCUCUCUCUGUCUCUCUCUCUCUCUCUUUCCGCCUGUGUGUGUGACUCUCGCUCUGUCGCACUCGCUGCCGAUAGAAGGGGUGGGGGUGCCAUAUGGGUGCUUAGAAAAAUGGAAGUGGAUCUGAGAAAGACGAGAGAGGAAUCUGUUCAUUGUUGAGCUCGGAUGUCGGGAUCUAUGUGAGAGGCAAAAUGAAAAAUGUACCCCAGGCAGCGAAUGCCAAUGAACAAGACACUUCCAUGAAGGGUCAUGACCACAAAUUCCUUGUGUGCCCUCAAGUGCAUCCACGCAGCUCGUAGACGGGUGGACACUUGAUUAAUCACAAGUGAUUUGAGAGAUUUUCACUGCGCUCAGAGGUAAGACAAAUCACCACUUGCAUUUGUAAUGCAAAAAGAAAACCUUACUUUUGAAUAUUUUUUCAGUGUGAUCCAUUUGGGGACAGACAAUAGAAGAGGGUAGAGUUUGGGUGUAUGCUGGCCUCGUUUUGUUUUUGCGCACUUGCACUUGCACUAGACUAGUGAGUCAGUACAAGUGUCGGACUGCUGUAACAGACGGCGUGCGUAGGACAAUUAGCCCGGAGUCAUCUGGAAGCGGCGCAGCUCGGCCCAGGUGCCCACUGUGCACAGAAAGAGACCAGAUGACCUUUUACACAGCUCCAUCCCACUGCAGUCACUUAAAACAGUGAUGGAUGUUUCCCUUCACACGCCCCUCCCUUCCCUCCCUCUCUCUCCUCUUACCAUUUUCCCCUCUUUUCCUCUUCUCUGCUCCGCUCCAACACCACUCUCGCCUUAUUUGUGCCCGCUCCACUCCUUGUUGUUCUACCGUCCUUUCAUAGCCUCCCAUUCUCUCUGUUCUUCCAGAGCGAUGAGGAGGAAGAGGCAGCCCCUCAUUAGAAUGCAGCGGCUGUUGCUCAGGUGGCAUGGCCGCUGGAUUCGGUCCUGAAUGCAGGAAGAUCAGCAGAAUGGCCGAGAGCAGGAUAGCAGGUAAGGACAAUGAGAACAGGAGGGAGAAAAGGAGGAGAGGCAAGGAAUAGACAUGACACCCAUGCACACUUACACACAUUUCUGUAAGGUAUGAACAGAUAUGUUCAGGUUCAAGUCCAGCCUCCCAGAGCCAAACAGUCAGGAAGAGUAUCACUAUGGGCUGAGAUGUGCUAGUUGAGUUAUUGUAGUAAUAACGUGGCUUUUGCAGUUUUUGUCUGUGUUAAUAAAAUGUUAUAUAAAACGUAUUUUACUUGUCUCCAAAAUGCAUACAUUUAAUUUUUCACCUGCAUUUUAUGUCUCAAUAGAAAAUGUAAUCAUUGUAGAUUUUACAGUUUCUACUUUUCAUCAUGUAAAUAUUGAUUCCAAUAAAUGUCUCUGUUGAAUA
Scophthalmus maximus (turbot) is the source of this 1522-nucleotide long non-coding RNA. RefSeq lists it as uncharacterized. The transcript has 3 exons. The record is from RefSeq and is a predicted model, not a curated record. NCBI's taxonomy places the organism in Eukaryota, Metazoa, Chordata, Actinopteri, Pleuronectiformes, Scophthalmidae.